CCUACGGGAGGCUGCAGUGGGGAAUAUUGGACAAUGGGGGCAACCCUGAUCCAGCCAUGCCGCGUGUGUGAAGAAGGCCCUCGGGCUGUAAAGCACUUUCAGUGAGGAAGAACGCCUGGUGGUUAAUACCCAUCAGGAAAGACAUCACUCACAGAAGAAGCACCGGCUAACUCCGUGCCAGCAGCCGCGGUAAUACGGAGGGUGCGAGCGUUAAUCGGAAUUACUGGGCGUAAAGCGCGCGUAGGUGGCUUGAUAAGCCGGUUGUGAAAGCCCCGGGCUCAACCUGGGAACGGCAUCCGGAACUGUCAAGCUAGAGUGCAGGAGAGGAAGGUAGAAUUCCCGGUGUAGCGGUGAAAUGCGUAGAGAUCGGGAGGAAUACCAGUGGCGAAGGCGGCCUUCUGGACUGACACUGACACUGAGGUGCGAAAGCGUGGGUAGCAAACAGGAUUAGAUACCCUAGUAGUC
RNAcentral lists this ribosomal RNA (465 nucleotides) under Vreelandella stevensii. Its description in RNAcentral is "partial 16S ribosomal RNA". It matches the Rfam family "Bacterial small subunit ribosomal RNA", at positions 338 to 795 of the family's 1533-position model. The record is from RNAcentral. Lineage: Bacteria; Pseudomonadati; Pseudomonadota; Gammaproteobacteria; Oceanospirillales; Halomonadaceae.